CCAGGAUGUCUUAAGAAAUAAAAGCAAGAGAAAGACUUUCCUAUGAGGGUCAAAAGAUUCCAAAGUCUAAUACUCUUACACCAUACGGGAAAGAGACGCAUAUGUUUGUUAAGGUGAGCCCUGGAUUGACUGAGAUUGAAAAACAAUGGCUCAUGUUCAUUCUUUCUCCAGAAGUCAAAUCUCAGUGUGGCAGGAAGAAGGGACCUGGAUUACAUUCAUACAUUCGACAGAUAUUAUGUGCUGGUCCUGCUGUAGGCCCUGAACAGCUGUGAGCAAGGAGUGCAUCCAGUAGAGUCACACAGACAGAAAUAAAACAGACAACAGACACGUAAAAAGUAAGUAU
Molecule: long non-coding RNA, 343 nt
Filed under: Felis catus (domestic cat)
Lineage: Eukaryota; Metazoa; Chordata; Mammalia; Carnivora; Felidae
Description: lncRNA (ENSFCAG00000052194.1)
Source: RNAcentral